CCUUAAUCAGGGGGAUAGCCCGAAGAAAUUCGGAUUAACACCGCAUAAAAUCACAGAAUAGCAUUAUUCAAUGAUCAAAUAUUUAUAGGAUUAAGAUGGGCAUGCGUGUCAUUAGCUAGUUGGCGGGGUAACGGCCCACCAAGGCGACGAUGACUAGGGGAUCUGAGAGGAUGACCCCCCACACUGGUACUGAGACACGGACCAGACUCCUACGGGAGGCAGCAGUAAGGAAUAUUGGUCAAUGGAGGCAACUCUGAACCAGCCAUGCCGCGUGCAGGAAGACUGCCCUAUGGGUUGUAAACUGCUUUUAUCUGGGAAUAAACCUAUUUACGUGUAGAUAGCUGAAUGUACCAGAAGAAUAAGGAUCGGCUAACUCCGUGCCAGCAGCCGCGGUAAUACGGAGGAUCCAAGCGUUAUCCGGAUUUAUUGGGUUUAAAGGGUGCGUAGGCGGCCUGUUAAGUCAGAGGUGAAAGACGGUAGCUCAACUAUCGCAGUGCCUUUGAUACUGAUGGGCUUGAAUGGACUAGAGGUAGGCGGAAUGAGACAAGUAGCGGUGAAAUGCAUAGAUAUGUCUCAGAACACCGAUUGCG
Molecule: ribosomal RNA, 590 nt
Filed under: Pedobacter sp. EECC-165
Lineage: Bacteria; Pseudomonadati; Bacteroidota; Sphingobacteriia; Sphingobacteriales; Sphingobacteriaceae
Description: bacterial SSU rRNA
Rfam family: Bacterial small subunit ribosomal RNA
Source: RNAcentral